This 164-nucleotide ribosomal RNA is filed under the name uncultured bacterium. RNAcentral's name for it is "partial 16S rRNA". It matches the Rfam family "Bacterial small subunit ribosomal RNA", at positions 355 to 511 of the family's 1533-position model. The record is from RNAcentral.
UAGGGAAUCUUCCACAAUGGGCGAAAGCCUGAUGGAGCAACGCCGCGUGUGUGAUGAAGGGUUUCGGCUCGUAAAACACUGUUGUAAGAGAAGAAUGACAUUGAGAGUAACUGUUCAAUGUGUGACGGUAUCUUACCAGAAAGCCACGGCUAACUACGUGCUAG